Molecule: long non-coding RNA, 586 nt
Organism: Phascolarctos cinereus (koala)
Lineage: Eukaryota; Metazoa; Chordata; Mammalia; Diprotodontia; Phascolarctidae
Source: RefSeq, a predicted model, not a curated record
CUUGUUCCCUUAUCUGGGUGGCUUGAGAGCCAGACACAUUUAUGCUGUCCUGUAUCUAUUGGGAUUUGUUAACAUAAAAACAGCAUUCCUCCUGGAGGAAGACACAGAUACUCCGGGGAUGCAAAGAGUGCAUCAGGCGCCUUUCGGUUUUGCAACACCAUUCCAGCGAGGGAGCAAAGUUCACUCUGCAAAUCUCCCACCACUUUAGUCAUUCAUGUCAGCCAUCUGUCCGGAUACAUCCCUGCAAACCUCAUUUGCAGUCAUAAGCCCCCCUACUCCCGCCGCUGUAGCUGCCAAGAUGCUGCUUUCCACGAUGAGGGGUAGGCAGGACGCGGAUCGCACUUCGGAAGCCGAGAGGAGAGCCGUAUUCAGUAACAGCCAGAUCUGGAAGUGUUCUAGUUUUAAACCCAUUGCCCUGAUGUCAGAUAUCCGGUGGGGAAUAGUAGUAGAAUCCUCAACGUUGGUGUGCUUUAAGGUGCCCAGUGUAAAAAGCAAGACUGUCUAUGGAGCAGACUUCAGAGAAAGAGGCUUCUCUGGUCCUGCUGGUUUUCUUUUGUUCUGUGCUGUGCAGAAAAUCCUCCCCUCC